Molecule: ribosomal RNA, 254 nt
Filed under: uncultured prokaryote
Description: partial 16S ribosomal RNA
Rfam family: Bacterial small subunit ribosomal RNA
Source: RNAcentral
ACGUAGGGGGCGAGCGUUGUCCGGAUUUAUUGGGCGUAAAAGGCUUGUAGGUGGCCACGCCAAGUCGGAUGUGAAAUCUCCCGGCUCAACUGGGAGGGGUCAUUCGAUACUGGCGGGCUCGAGGCCGGUAGGGGGAAGUGGAAUUCCCGGUGUAGUGGUGGAAUGCGUAGAUAUCGGGAGGAACACCAGUGGCGAAGGCGGUUGCCUGGAGCUUUGCUGACGCUGAGGCGCGAAAGCGUGGGGAGCGAUCCGGA